CCUACGGGAGGCAGCAGUGGGGAAUAUUGGACAAUGGGCGAAAGCCUGAUCCAGCCAUGCCGCGUGUGUGAAGAAGGCCUUCGGGUUGUAAAGCACUUUCAGUGGGGAAGAAAGCCUUGGGGCUAAUACCCUCGAGGAAGGACAUCACCCACAGAAGAAGCACCGGCUAACUCCGUGCCAGCAGCCGCGGUAAUACGGAGGGUGCGAGCGUUAAUCGGAAUUACUGGGCGUAAAGCGCGCGUAGGCGGUCUGAUAAGCCGGUUGUGAAAGCCCCGGGCUCAACCUGGGAACGGCAUCCGGAACUGUCAGGCUAGAGUGCAGGAGAGGAAGGUAGAAUUCCCGGUGUAGCGGUGAAAUGCGUAGAGAUCGGGAGGAAUACCAGUGGCGAAGGCGGCCUUCUGGACUGACACUGACGCUGAGGUGCGAAAGCGUGGGUAGCAAACAGGAUUAGAUACCCGAUAGUC
Molecule: ribosomal RNA, 464 nt
Filed under: Vreelandella stevensii
Lineage: Bacteria; Pseudomonadati; Pseudomonadota; Gammaproteobacteria; Oceanospirillales; Halomonadaceae
Description: partial 16S ribosomal RNA
Rfam family: Bacterial small subunit ribosomal RNA
Source: RNAcentral